CUGCAACGCAUCACUACUCACCUUUCUGGGGGCAUGCCAGGUGACCGGGGGCCUGAACUCGGCCACAAUAAUGCUCGAGUCAAUGCUGGAUGAUUCGCCGCAGCAAAGUUGCACUGAUCACGAACUGUCUGCCAUCAACGACCGUGAAGACAACGUUGAGUUGCCGCCACCGCUGGGCUGCAGCUCUCCCGUGCCGUCGUGGAGCAGCUCUGGAGAAGCAUCUUCAGAACGGGGAAAAAUGAAGAGGUGGUACCUCGGAAAUCAUUCAAUAUCUGGAAAGGGCAGAUGAGAGGUUCCUGCAGCACAGCAAGGCAAUGGAUGAUGCCUUGUGUCAGGACAUGAGAGCGGACACCCAAUCCCUGCUUGGACUCAUGGGGCGCACGGUGGCCGUAUUGGAGACACAAGUUAAAAAAUAAUUUUGGUUGCCGCUUUUCAUGUCUUUUUUUUUUUUUUUACACAAUUGUUACCUGCAGAACUUUAUUUUUUUAAAAGAUUUCUGUUGUUUUUUUUGGUUUAAAUAAACAUGUUUAGUAAUGCAAAUAGCUGGUCCAGUUUCUUAAACACUUAACAGGCAAAUAUUGUAUUAUGGUUUGUGUUUUUAAUGUAAUUUACUUUUAUAUAAAUGUGUACAUUAAACAGCCAAGUGAUGCGAUUAGCUGCAUAUACAAAUCUAUAUUAUUUCGACAUGAAAUAUGAUUAAAAUCCAAGUUACUUUAUGAUUGGUAGUUAAUAAAAACUUGGUUGGUUUUAAUCCUGGCCAGAAGUGUGAAAGGGUUGUUGAUUGAGG
Long non-coding RNA from Gasterosteus aculeatus aculeatus (three-spined stickleback), 787 nucleotides. Lineage: Eukaryota; Metazoa; Chordata; Actinopteri; Perciformes; Gasterosteidae. The record is from Ensembl.